This 864-nucleotide ribosomal RNA is filed under the name uncultured Neocallimastigales. RNAcentral describes it as "partial large subunit ribosomal RNA". It matches the Rfam family "Eukaryotic large subunit ribosomal RNA", at positions 1 to 628 of the family's 3401-position model. The record is from RNAcentral. Lineage: Eukaryota; Fungi; Neocallimastigomycota; Neocallimastigomycetes; Neocallimastigales.
CGCAUCUGUGCAUGCAGCAUAUCAAUAAGCGGAGGAAAAGAGGGCUAUUACCUACGCUUAGGAUGUUGACACACGCGCGUGCUCGAGUCUAUACAUGACUCUGUGCAUAUCAAUAAGCGGAGGAAAAGAAACUAACAAGGAUUCCCCUAGUAACGGCGAGUGAAGCGGGAAGAGCUCAGAUUUGAAAUCUUAAAGGGUUUCCCUUUACGAAUUGUAGUUUAAAGAAGUGUUUUCUGUUGAGGUUUUGGUAAAAGUUCAUUUGGAAUAGGACAUCAUAGAGGGUGAGAAUCCCGUAUUUGACCUUUACUUUCAACUUUGUGAUACACUUUCAAAGAGUCGGAUUGUUUGGGAAUGCAGGUCCAAAAUGGGUGGUAAAUUUCAUCUAAAGCUAAAUAUUGGCGAGAGACCGAUAGCGAACAAGUACCGUGAGGGAAAGAUGAAAAGAACUUUGAAAAGAGAGUUAAACAGUACGUGAAAUUGUCAAAAGGGAAGCGUUUGACACCAGUGUUGUUUUUCUGAAAAUCAAUUAAAGAACUGUUUAUGCUAAGCUGUUUAGACUUUAUCAGCUAACUGUUUAGUUUUGAGCUUUUCUUUAAUGCACUUUUCAGUUAACAAGUCAACAUCAAUUUCUUUUGCUGUAAAAAAGCUUGAGGAAGGUGGCUUGAGAUUCGUCUUAAGUGUUUAUAGCCUCUUGCCUAUGCAGUCGGAGAGAUUGAGGUCUGCAGCGUAGAUCCUUCAGGGCUAAAUGCAUUUGUGCUAAGUUAUAGCAUUUUAUAGACAACUUGUUGACUAUGAUUUGUCUUGUAGCUUACUCGCUUAUGUUAUUUUACCUACGCUUAGGAUGUUGAGUCGUAGAGCACGCAG